GGACCCACCUGACUCCAUUCCGAACUCAGAAGUGAAACGAAAUAGCGCCGAUGGUAGUGUGGGGUUUCCCCAUGUGAGAGUAGGACAUCGCCAGGC
RNAcentral lists this ribosomal RNA (96 nucleotides) under Vibrio parahaemolyticus. Lineage: Bacteria; Pseudomonadati; Pseudomonadota; Gammaproteobacteria; Vibrionales; Vibrionaceae. The record is from RNAcentral.